Molecule: long non-coding RNA, 28829 nt
Filed under: Panax ginseng (ginseng)
Lineage: Eukaryota; Viridiplantae; Streptophyta; Magnoliopsida; Apiales; Araliaceae
Description: long non-coding RNA (PGIN_LNC002336)
Source: RNAcentral
AAAAGAAUGAUCUAAUAAUAAUUAAAUAUCACAAGACAAACGAUAAUAAAUGUCAAACUGUCUCAAACCACAAUCUAAAAUAAUUAUUACAAUUCCAAAUAAACUGACAUAUCAAGCCAAAACAGAAUAUUUCUAAACCAUUGAAAUGAAGGGAGCUCUCAUCACACUUGCCCUUGAUUCUCCUGGUUACCUGCCGGAAGAAAAACACAGCAUGAGCCAAAUGCCCAGUACGGAUAUAGAAUACAAAUAAUGAACCAAAAUAACUAACUCAGUUAAACGAAAUGAAACAAAACGAACGAAACUAACACAACAAAAUAAUAAGCUGAAUCAAAUAGCUGUGUGAUAUUCCAUACCGAUCUCAAAACAAAACAGAAAUAUUUCUUGCCACAUGUACAAGCAAGUCAAAUAAUGCCACACAGGCAAAUCAUAUAAUGUCACACAUGCAAAUCAAAUAAUGUCACACAGUCAAAUUACACACAUUGGACCGCGAAUCCAAUGCAUGUAAAAUCGGAAGGUGUGUUUGACACAAACAUCACCAAUCCGCAGAACAUAACAGAACAGAAAACUAGGGUCGACCCAUACGCCUCCCACAACAAAACACCAAAUGACCAACUCCCACUGGAGCACAAAACGGAGACGUCUUGGACUGAUCACACCGUCACGAAAGGUGUCAUGCCUCGGUGACAAGAGGACAUGUCUGUAGUACCCCCACAGGUGGUUAUAGCUCAGGUAUACUCUACGGUAUUCUAACAAAGAUAUAAUAUUACAACACAUGCGACACAACAAAGGGGUUCUAACAUGUGCAUGUUAAACUGAAACGAAAUAUCAAUACAAAGCCUCCAAAAAUAUUAACAUGUACUUUCUACAAAGAUCGACAUAAAUAUUAACCAUGACACACUAGAUCAAAGAGUAUAAAUACUAGUUUCAAAUACUAAUGCCAAAAUGAAACAUUCUCACGAAUUUAAGAAGGAACAAUCAUGUGAAACAGUAAUAAAUUUCUAAAUGAAAAGUGAAAUAAACAAAUCAAAAUUAAAGGAUUAUCACAGAAGGAGUACGAAAUCCGUACCUGGAUUAAGCAAUGUAAUACCCAAAGUAUAUUCCAAAAACUCGUUUAGACUCUCUCCGCUCAAUCUAAAUAAUUUAAUAAAAUUUUAUUACAAUCCAAUCAUUAAUAACAUAAUACUAUUAAAUUUAUUAUUAAGAACUUUUAUAACUAUGUCGGCAAAAUUAAUUAAUUGAAAUUAAUAUACAUAACUUCAAAUGAUUUACAACUCUGUUUAUAAAUUUCAUUGCCAAAUGUUUAUAAUAUAUAUAUAUAUAUAUAUAUAUAUAUAUAUAUAGGAAUGAUCCAUAACAUAUAAAUGAAAAGUGGUAUAUAACAUCUCAACCAUCCGUGUAAUUAAUGAAGGGCUGAGAUUUGUAUUUUGUAACUACCGUCCGCUAGACUUACUAGCGGACGUAGUAAAUUAGAUAUCUGGACAUUUAUGCCCCCCAAUUCGCCAGUUAGCCAAGCCAAAAUCCACAGACAUUACACAGUCCGCUAGUAUGUCUAGCGGACAGGACAUACUAGUUUUCCAAACAAAUCUUAAUACCCACUGUAUCUUUCCUGCACGAUUCAUAUACUGCAUACCCAAAACAAUAUAUAAUCAUACUUAAUACCCUAAACAAAUAUCUUCCUGCAUACCCAAAACAAAUCUAUUCAUACUUAAUACCCAAAACAAAUCUUUUCCUGCACGAUUCACGAUUCAUACUUAAUACCCAAUAAAUAUUUUCCUGCAAGAUUCAUGCAAUACCCAGUACUUAACAAUUUCAAAAAAUGAUUCAAACAAGCAUAUUUCCCAUAAAAACCAACUGCAGCAAUUCUCCCUGCAAGUGUACAAGAUAUUCUUGCAAUACCCAGUACAUAUCAGCAACAACAACAACAUGAAUUCCUGCAAUACCCACGAAUAGCAACAGUUAAGCAAAAAGAUAUGGAAUGGUUAACAUCACAUCCCCAAUAAAGCAAAAUUUCCAAAUCUUCCAAAUAAUAUUCGAAAUUCAAAUCAAAACAAGAUAUAUCAAAUUCCAAAAGAAAUAGAAAUCAAAUACAGUAAAUUUUGAACAUCAAUAUCAUAACAGGAGGAUGAAUCGUCCAGCAUGAAAACACAGUAAAUUUUGAACAUCAAUAGGUAACAUAAACAAAACUGAUUUAAUAGUUCAAAAAAAAUGCUGGCAAUCGAAAUUUAGAAGCUUAGUCAAAAGCAAAUAAUGGUUUCAAAAAAGUAAUAUUUGCACAUGAUUAAAGGCAAAAGUAGAUAAUGGUUCUAAAAAAGUAAUAUUUGCAAAUGAUUAGGAAUAUGUGCAAAAACAGGGUCUAGAACUUAGAAUUUGCACAUAAUUAUGAAUAUGUGCAAAAAACAGUCAUUAAUUUCAAAUAAUAGGGAGACAUAAGCAAGAUUUACCUGAGAGAAUUAUCCCUGAAAUGCAUUUCCAUGUAAGGCUGUCAAAUCAACCCCGUAAUAAUUUUGUUGCUGCCAAAAAAGGGCCUGGAGAACAAAGAGUCAUAACCAUUGGACCUCUGCUUCUCAACAAACCAGAUGCUAAGAAACAAAUAUAGAAUUUGAGAGAUUAAUUUUUAAAAUAAUCUACUCUACACAAGGAAAGCAUAUCAAUUUAGCACAUUCUGCUUCAAACAUUAAACUAUGAAAACAUAAAUCUAUAUUCUUUAAUAAUAUAUUCAAAACAAUUCACCAAGACAGAUAACUUGAAUAAACUACUCAGCAAACAGCUAAACAGAUAGAAUUCUGGCAAAAAUAAUAAUGAUAUAAAUUUUGGUUGUCUAAAAUCCCAGUAUCGAUUCAAGACAAGACCACAGCAUGACCAUGACUUUGUGGAUGCCUAUGAAUUUAAUUCUGACUUAUCAAACAUGGCUCAAACAUAAAAAAUGGAAGACUGCGACACUGACAUUGUAAUAUGGGACAAAGACAACCUAAAAUGAAAGACCUGAGACUUAAUAAGUCAUCAUGAACAAGUUUGAUGCAUAUCGUACAACACUAUGAUGUAACACUUGUUUCGGAAUUAACAAAAAUUGUUGUGGCAAUAUCAUUCUAUUCCUAUUACUUCUAUUUCUUAAAUGAUGGCCAGCUGGUUUUGUCCCUACCUCUGCCUGAAGAAGCUUAUUUCCUGUCAACCAUAAGCUAUACUGUUUAUACCUAACAACCAAUUGGCUCCUAAGGAUGGUUUAACUUACGAUCCAACCAGGAUGGAAGGCAAGUACUUCAGUCACAUGAAUGGAAACAUGCACCAUUAUGCCGCAAUCCUCUUUCAAUCCAGUAAUAAAUAUUUAUAAAAUAAAGGAUGACAAGAAUAUAUAAAUUAAAUAACAAGUAGGGGACAACCUGAACAUCAAACAUUGCAUCAGGACCAACAAGAUAUCCAGUUUUUUCUUUGAUGAAGGACACAACCUUCUCUUUUUUAAUCCUUUUUUGCUUCCCUCCAUUCAGAUUGGAGCUCUUUAUUAUCAGCAAACUGCAGACAGUUUGAUAUGUUUAACUUGGUUAUGUAAGUGUGUAUUACUAAAGAACAAUAUAAGCAACAGAAAAGAAAAGAAAGGAAAUCUAGGUGAUCAGAACAUUCUAGUAGUGUACCAAUUUUACGAAAAUCAAAAGAUAGGUAUCGCAUGAUCAUAACAGAGCUAAAUGUGAACCAAAAAAAAAAUAUUUAAUUUUGCCCAAAAAUCUAGUUUUCAAUAUUAUACAACUUUGAAACUUCCAGGAAAAUAUAAAAUAAAAAAUAAAAAAAUUACAAUCAAUCUGUAGAAAAAGAAUGAAUGGCAUGUUUAAAUUCAAAAAAACAGGCGAAUAAGAGAUAAAUGUAACUGGCAUAAGUAGAUUACAACAAAUAAAACUUAAGAAAAAGCAUGAAAAAUAAACAGGAUGAAACUAGGGUUCAAGCGAAUUAAUUGUGAAUCGCAUCACCUUCAGAUUUUGGAGAUUAAACUACAAACUUACCUGUGAAAUCUGUUUGGAAGAACAAGGUUCCACUUAGCGAAAUUGUUGCGGAUUUGCAUAUGACCACUUCUAGGGUUCUAGCUGUUUACAGCGGACGCAGAACUAGGGACAAAUGCAAUCGCAGUAUUGUUUUGAAACCUUGCGAAAUUGUAGCCGAUUUGCAGAUUUGAGAUUGUAGCCGAUAGCAUAUGACCACUUAUAGGGUUCCAGGGAUUCGCCCAAUUCGCAGAACUAGGGACGAUUGCAAGCUCUGUAUUGUUUUACCUGUGUCGAUUUUCCCCUAAAUAUUUUGAUCCGUCUGCUAGAAUCUCUAGCGGAUUGCGUAGUUACUGUAUUUGUUUUGGCGAAUUGGGGGGCGUAUUUGUUUUGAAUCGGGGGCAUAAAUAUCCACACUACGUCAGCUAGUAAGUCUAGCGGACGGUUCCAUUCAUUAAUUAUAAUUAAGAUGUUAUAUGUUAUUUUUUAUUUUAUAAUUUAUAAAUGUUAUGGAUUAUUUCCCUCUCUAUAUAUAUAUAUAUAUAUAUAUGGAUUUGAUCAAGUCCGGACUCCCAGACCUGAUCAAAUUCGGACAUUUUUUUUUUUGCUUUUUUUUUUAAACAACUAAAAAAAAAAUUAUGAAACUUGAAUUUUUACAUAAUACAGUAUUUUGAGUGUGAUUUGGAUACAUAAUACAGUAUGCACACAUGUUUUGUUAUAUGUAUUCAAAUCACACUAAAAACACUGUAUUAUAUAAAAAUUCAAGUUCCAUAAUUUUAUUUUAUUUUUUAGUUGUUUAAAAAAAAACCAAAAAAAAAUGUCCAAAUUUUAAACCUGUCCGAGCUCCCGGACAGAAUCCGACAUAUAUAUAUAUAUAUAUAAGAAUGUUUCUUUAAAAAAAAUAUGAAGUCAGUCGGUACUGUAUAUAUAUACAUUCAUAUAUAUUUAGUACAAUAAUAUAUAUUUAGUCUGAUAAUAUAUAUAUAUAUAUAUAUAUAUAUAUAUAUAUAUAUAUAUAUAUAUUCAUGAUCAGGUUUCAUUCUAUGAAUCAUUGCUAUUUAUAUAUAUAAAUUAGUAUUUUUCAUUCCAACAAGAAAAGUUGCACAUGGAUCAUUACCAUUAUACUUCUCUCUCUAUAUAUAGUCCUUGACAUAGCAAUCAAAAUUAUCCCAAUACAAUAAAAGCAUACCUGAGAUUUCUUUUCUUCCGUACAGCCGCACAAGUCUUCCUCCUCUUUUCCCUCAGUUUGUAUAAUGAAAUAAAAUUAGGUCAAGCUCUUUAUUAACUAAGAGGUCUCUUUUAUUUAAUAAACUUCUAAUUAGGUUCAAUUAAUAAUAAGGCCCAAAUUGUACUAAAUUAAUUUACCCAUCUCUUAUUAAUAUUUAUUAGCCCACACAAAUUAAAUAACUAGUUUGACCAAAAUAAAUGACAAAUUCCAAUUAAUAUGUUUUAAAAUAAAAUAUUUUUUUUAUUAUUUAAUAUAUAUAUAUUUAUUUCGGGUAUUACAUCACCUACCCCUUAAAAGGAUUCCGUCCCCGGAAUCAAAAGAAUGAACGUACCUAAUUAUCAAAGAGAUGUGGAUACUCCUCUCGAAUAGAUUCCUCCAUCUUCCAAGUGGCUUCCUGCUCCGAAUGAUUCCUCCACAAAACCUUAACAAAUGGGAUUGUCUUCCUUCUCAUAAUCCGCUCUUGACGAUCCAAAAUUGCCUCGGCUUGUUCCUCAUAAGUAAGAUCCUCCUGAAUCUUAUCGAACGGAUAUUGCACCACAUGCAAUAAAUGAUAAUGAUAACUCCUCAACACCGACACAUAGAACACAUUGUGCACAUGAGCUAGCUGUGGAGCAAAGCUAACCGAUAUGCAACUUCACCAACCCUCUCCAAAAUCUUAAAUGGGCCAAUAUAACGCGGACUAAGUUUCCCUUUCAACCCAAAUCGCUGAAUGCCCUUCCAAGGAGAAACUUUUAGAAACACAUGCUCACCAGAUUCAAACUCUAAAGUCCUCUUAUGCUUAUCAGCAUAACUCUUCUACCGUGAUCGAGCCGACUUCAAUUUCUCCUUAACCACUGCUACUUUCUCCGUAGUGAUUUAAACUAACUCAGGCCCUUCUAUGGCCCUUUCGCCAACCUCAUCCCAACAAGUUGGUGCCCGACACUUCCUACCAUACAACGCCUCAAAAGGAGCCAUUCCAAUACUUGCAUGCCAGCUGUUGUUAUAAUCAAACUCAACUAGGCUCAAGUAAUCAUCCCAAUUACCCGACCACUUAAGUGCAUAAGAACUCAACAUGUCCUCCAGCGUCUGAAUAGUCCUUUCGAAUUGCCCAUCAGUUUGCGGAUGAAAAGAAGUACUGAAGUUGAGCCGAGUACCCCAAGCUCGUUGAAACCCUUUCCAAAACCGUGAAGUAAACCGUGGGUCCUGAUCUGAAACAAUAGAUACAAGAGUACCAUGAAGUCUAACAAUCUCCUGCUGAAAUAUAUAUGCCAACCUAUCCACCGAGUAACCCUCAUGGAUAGCCAAAAAGUGUGCCGAUUUGGUCAGCCGGUCCACCACUACCCAAAUGGCAUCAUUCUUCUAGAAAGUCUUUGACAAACCAGCCACAAAAUCCAUCGUGAUAUUGUCCCACUUCCACAUUAAAAUGUCUAAUUGUUGCAGCAAACCACUAGCUCGUUGAUGUUCUAUCUUCACUUGUUGAAAAGUGAGGCACUUCCCAACAUAUUCAGCCACGUCUCGUUUCAUCCCAUUCCACCAAAAAUUCUUCUUCAAAUCCCUACACAUCUUUGUAGAACUUGGAUGAAUAGAAAAUGGCAAACUAUGAGCCUCAGUCAACACAGCCUCCUGAAUGAUUGGAUCCGACGGUACAAACAACCGCUCACCCAACCAAAUCACACCAUGGUCAUCAAUACGAAACUCGGGCUGCUUGCCCUCCUCCAGAUUCUGCGCCAUACUCCACAAUUCCCCAUCUUCUUUUUGAGCUUCUUUAACUCGCGAGAUAAGAGAGGGCUCCACUCUCAUACCAGCCACAUGUCCAUCUGAACCUUGCACAAAUAACUCCAACUCUAGUCUCCAUAUCCGAAAUAAUCUGAGGUUGUGUAAUAAGGGCUGCUACACUUCCUGAACUCUUUCGGCUAAGAGCAUCUACAACCACAUUUUCCUUCCCCGGGUGAUACUGAAUCCUCGUAUCAUAAUCUUUUAGAAGCUCCAACCAACGUCUCUGCCUCAUGUUGUGCUCCUUCUGAGUGAAAAUGUAUUUAAGACUUUUGUGAUCGGUGAAGAUAUCAUAAGUCUCUCCAUACAAAUAAUGCCUUCAAAUCUCUAAGGCAAAGAUCACCGCUUCCAACUCCAAAUCAUGUGUGUGGUAAUUCACCUCGUAAGGUUUAAGCUGCCUAGAAGCAUAAGCAAUCACCUUACCGUGUUGCAUUAAAACACACCCCAAUCUCUUCUUAGAAGCAUCACUAUAAUUCUGGUAACCUCCUGUCCCCGAUGACAAUGCAAGUAUAUGAGCUGUCAUAAGUCAUUUCUUCAACUCCUCAAAACUCUUCUCACACUCCUCAUUCCACACAAACUUUGUGCCCUUCCUUAUCAACUGAGUCAACGGUAAGGCAAGCAAGGAAAACCCUUCCACAAACCGCCUAUAAUACCCUUGCCAAACCUAAGAAACUCCUAAUCUUUGUCACCGUGGUAAGUCUCGGCCAUUUAGUGAUAGCCUCAACCUUCGCAAGAUCCACCUUAAUGCCUUCAGCAGAAAAAAUGUGGCCUAAAAAUGCAACAUACUCCAACAAAAACUCGCAUUUAGAGAAUUUAGCAUACAACUUCUCUUUCUGCAAAAUCCCAAAAAUUAUGCAAAGAUGCUCCUCAUGUUCUUCCUUAGACUUGGAGUAAACCAAAAUGUCAUCAAUAAAGACAAUAACAAAUUGGUCCAAGUACUCCUUGAACACCUGGUUCAUCAAAUCCAUAAACACCGCCAGAGCGUUAGUCAACCCGAAUGGCAUCACCAGAAACUCGUAAUGCCCAUAUCGAGUGCGAAAAGCUGUCUUAGGGAUAUCCUCCUCCCUCACCCUCAACUAAUGAUAACCUGAUCUCAAGUCUAUCUUCGAAAAAUACUUUGCCCCCUGAAGUUGGUCAAACAAGUCAUCAAUCCUCGACAAUGGAUACCGACUCCUGAUGGUAAUCUUGUUCAACUCCCUGUAGUCUAUACACAGCCUCAUAGACCCAUCCUUCUUCUUUACAAACAAAACUGGAGCACCCCACGGCGAAACACUCGGCCGAAUCACACCACGAUCUAACAGUUCCUGUAACUGCUCCUUCAACUCCUGUAACUCCAAUGGUGCCAUCCGAUACGGCGUCUUAGAGAUAGGCUCUGCACCAGGAACAAGCUCAACAGCAAACUCUACUUCUCGCUGUGGUGGAAACCCUGACAACUCCUUAGGAAACACAUCGGGAAAAUCACGAACAACAUGAACAUCCUCAAUACGAGACUCACCCUUAGAGGUAUCCUUCACAAAUGCCAAAUACCCCUCAUAGCCCUUCGCAACUAACUUCUCAGCCUUCAAAGCUGAAAUUAACUUCACCACUAUACUCGGCUGUGAACCCUGAAACACGAAUUUUGGAGACUUCACAUCUCCAAAUAUAACCUUCUUCGCCUGACAAUCGAUAGUGGACUGGUGCUUAUCUAACCAGUCCAUCCCAAGAAUGGCAUCAAAAUCGUGCAUACUCAUUGGAAGAAGAUUAGUACGAAUCUUAUCCCUAAAACUUAUCGGACACCCUCGAUAAAAAUCAGAAAUAACAACAGAAGUCCCCAUCGGGGUAGUAAUACACAUAACAGAAUCUAAAGACUGGGAUGACACACCCAGGUGCCGAACAAAAGACUGAGCAACAACGAAAUGGGUAGAACCCGUAUCAAACAAAAUAGACACCUCACGAUUGCAAACUAGAAGAGUACCAGAAACAGUACUUGGUGCACCUGCCGCCUGGUUAUACGUCAAAGCAAAAACUCGACUACCCUGACCUCCAUUGCCACCAUUUUCACCACCUCCAUCAUUAUCGCGUGGACCGGUACAAUCCCUAGCAAUAUGACCCAUCUGUCCACACAAGAAGCAUGCACCGGUGAGUCUAUGGCACUGCCUCCCCGGAUGAUUAGCCCCACACAUAGCACAAGGAGAUAUCAGAAUGAGAUUUGGGUUACCCCCACUAGCUGGUCCCGGAUAACGACCCUGAUUCUGUCCCUGAUGACGAUUCUGCCACUGUUGACGAUUUUGUCCAUACCAAUGUAGCUGAAGCUGAAGAUUCUGCCCUUGUUGAGGCAUCUGCUGAUAACACUUAUUUUGAUUCUAGCCAUGCCACUGCCCCUGCUGGCCACCACAGUUCCUGUUCCACUGACCACCUUGAUUCUUCCCAUGUUAUCCCGAAGUUUGACCCUGCUGGUCAUCUCUGUCCCUCUUUCAACUCCCUUCCGAUUUAGAAGACCGAAAGUCCUGUCAUUCCAUCUCAAUAUUAUUGGUCGUAGUGGCCACUGCUGACACAUCUACAAACUUGGUGUUAAUAAGAUGCUGCCAAUGCCUAUGAUGAAUCCUCCACUUGAAUUUCUCUGCCUGUUCUGCUGCAGUCCCUGCUGAGGUUCCCGCAAAUCCUGCCAACCUAGUGAACCUUGUCAUGAAAUCCGUGAUAGACUCAUCAUCUUUCUGUCGAAUGGACAGAUAGUCUCUAGCAUAGGCCUCUUUAUCAGCAGCUGGAAAGUACUGCUGAUAAAAGACCUCACAAAACUCUGCCCGGCUAAGUGCCUCAGCAUAACCAUCACCCUUUGUUACUUUCGUCGCCUUCCACCACCUCUGUGCAUCCCCUUCCAUCUUGUAAGUGGCAAGUUAUACUCUCUGAUUAUCUGAGCACCCCAACAAAUCGAAAAUCUUUUCUAGGUGAGCGAUCCAAUUCUUUGCAUCAAUUGGAGUCAAAGCUGAACUGAAUGACUGUGGUUUCUGCUUCUGGAACCUCUCCAACCAUACAUACAUUGGAACCAUCGGUUGAUCACGACCAUCCGUAUUCCCUUCCUCAACAUUCGCAUGCUGACCAUUAUUUCCCAGAUUCUCUUGUUCAGGAAUUUCUGGUGGCGGCUACUGCAUUGCCUGUACAACCUGUGCCACCAACUGAGAUAAAGCCUGAUUCACCUCCUGAUUCACCAAGGUAGCCAAUUGAGCAUUAAUCUAAUCAUUAGGUUGCUCAUUGGGCUGACCCUCACCUCUUCCCCUAUUGUUGCCUCACCUCCCAACAACUCAAGCAGAUCUACGAGCCAUCUAAGAAAGAGAUCACGAAUAUAAACAAAGUAGAUUAGAGACAAAUUCGAAUAUAGCGGAUAUGAUAGCUGAACAGAAUAUCAAACAGAACAAAAAUGUGACGCCCCCAAAAUAAGUAUACAUCACCCAUCUUGAGUCGCCAAAUACAUGGUACAGAAUACAAAUACAAACUUAAUUAUACAACAGUCGUGUAAUAUAUGACAAAACAUAGCUGAGAGUUUAAACAUGAAUGUUUCCUUCUAGACAAUAUCCACUCUCAAAUAGAGUCCUCAUUACAUUUAUUGUCACACAAUUUUAUAGAAUAGUGAGGACUACUAAUACACCAUCUCGGACCAUCACUUUGUUCCCUGACUAGUCCCGGCUACAUUUUCAUUUCCUGAAGAGAACAAUGAAAGCAAAAGGGUGAGCUUAACUAGCCCAGUAAGAAAUAUUAUGACUAAGAUAAUUCAGAAUAAAUUAUCAUUAGUCUUCAACAAUGUUAAACACAUAAAAUACAAUACACAUCAAGUUUAACUGUAGUGGAAUAAGCAAUCCAUUAGAAGAGUCAAGUAGAGCAUACUAUCUACUGUCUUCUAUGAUUUAAAAUGUUUUCAUCAAUUUUUAUCGCUGAGACUCAGCUUAAUAAAUAAACCACAUCAUCGAGUCAUCCCUGCACUACGGGCCAAGGAUAUUCAUUAAAUCAUCAAUGGUCAUGAUCAUGCCAAGAACUGUCCAUCAAUGCACUACGGCCAAUGAGGAUUUUUACCACAUCAUUUAUAACAUUACAGGUCAUGAUUAUAUCGAAUGAUCCCUGGUCAUAAUCAUACCAAGUCCAUCUAUGCACGUAAGCCAAAGAUGACUUUCCUCACAAUAUAAGCAUGAGGAUGAUGACAAUGACAUAAUAAUUCAAUAAAACAAGUUUAAGAAUAAAUUUUAAAAAUUUAUAAGUUUAUUUAUCCUGAAAUCAAUUACGUCCAAAUUGUCAACAUGAUAUUGCUUUGUGGAGUAAAAUUCAAGAAUGCUCAGAAGAAUAUUUCCAUGAAAAGAUACUGGAUGAAGCGCAAAUAUCCAAGAUAUUCUACUAAUUUCAUGGAGUAUAAAAGCCAAAACUUUAACCAACUGAGUAUAAUAGAAUAUAUGAAACUGCAAAUGGAUUUUAUCCCGCCAUGCGGUAAUCCACAUAAUAGUAAUAUUCCAACAGAAUAAUAAAGAAUGGAAUAACAGAAAAAUUCACCAGGCAUGCGAUAGACCGCACAGAUAGGUUAUUCUCAACAGAAUAAUAAAGAAUAGAACCAGGUCAUGUGUAAUCCGCACAGACAGGAUAUUCCAACAGAAUAAUAAAGAAUGGAACCAGGUCAUGUGUAAUCUGCAUAGACAGGAUGAAAGAAUUGAACCAGGUCAUGCGUAAUUCGCACAGACAGGAUGUUCCAACAAAAUAAUAAAGAAUGGAACCAAGUCAUGCGUAAUCCGCACAGACAGGAUGUUCUAACAGAAUAUUAAAAAAUGGAAUAACAACAGAAUUCAUCAGGCAUGUGAUAGACCGCACAGACAGAUUAUUCCAACAGAAUAAUAAAGAAUGGAAUAACAGAAGAAUUUCACCAUGUAUGCGGUACUUCGCAUAGACAGGUUAUUCCAACAUAAUAAUAAAGAAUGGAAUAACAACUCUUACGAGUAUUGAAAGAAAAUAACUCUCUUCAUGAAUACGAAAGAAUAAUACCCCUUACCUUAGAAGAAACUGGAUAUUAGAUUAGUGAGGUAGCAGACUUCUCUUCUUCUUUCUCUUUAUAAUUUCUCUCUAUAAUAAUUGCUCUAUAGCUUUAGUGAAUUGGUGAGAAAUGAAGGAAGAAUGAGCUUCUAUUUAUAGGAAAAUAUAGUUUCGAUAAUUGCACGUUUUGGGGCUCGAAAUAUUACAGUACAAUACCUUCAACUUUUCUUUCAUUUUUAAUUUAGUCCUGCAAGUAUUAUCAAACUUGCACCACCUCCCCUAAUAGUAAAUAAUGUGAAUCAAUAGUUCAAUCAUGUGAAUCAAUAGUUAUAAUCAUGUGAAAAUACGAAUUACAGUAUAGUACCUCCAGCUAAACCACCAUUUUUAACUUAGUCAUGCAGGUAUUAUCAAUCUUGCACCAACUCCCCUAAUAGUACAAGAAUGUGAAUCAAUAGUACACACAUGUGAACAAAUAGUAAUAAUCAUGUGAAUUAAUAGCAAUUAAUUGCUCAUUUAUCCGAUUAAUUACCCGACUGGUCAGUAUAACUUCUAGACAUCAAUUAAUAUCGAAAUAAAUGUCGAUUUCCACUAACACUAAUAAUUCCAACACAAUGGAACUAUCAAUUUCAUCUUUAAUCAACACGAACUUAUUCGUCAUUAAUAUUACAACUCAUAAUAUUUAACAACCAGGUCGUUCCCAAGAAAGAUAGGGCUUUCCGAUAAGGAUUUCUUCUUAUUGGCGCACAAUUAGAUGACCAAACCUCUCAUUGACAGAACUUUUAGACAUUAUAAAUAUUGAAAUUUAAUAAUAUGAAUAACUUUGUCGUCUCAAUUAUUGAUUUAAUAAUAUAUCAUAUUAUGCAAAUGAUACUGUGAUAAUAAUCGAACCAAUAAUAUGAGAGAUAUGAUGCAUCAAUUACUGUAGCAAUAAUUGAGUAUAACUGAGUGACUUCUCAUGUAAGCAUCAAUAAUCAAUACCGUGUGCUACUAUGCAACCACGCGUAUUACUGUACUUUUACUACCGGGUAUUUCAACAGCUUAACGGUAAAACUUCCGCUGUUAUUUUUAUAAAAAGACAAUUCUGUCAUUUUCUAACUACGACAAUACUUCCAUUAUGGGGUCCACCAAUGAUUGUGCCGUCGUACGAAUAUUCCCUGUUAAAAUGAAUAUUCCCCGACCAAUCGAAUAUUAUAUAACCACUUGCUUACUUUGCAAAAUUUGUAAAUAUUACCCACAACUAUAACAUUAUAUUAUAUCCAUACCAUAAUAUUCAAAAAUAUAUUUCGAGAGAAAUUAAUCUUUAUUCAUAAAAAUUUGGGUCUUACAAACUCCCCUUCUUAUGAAAUUUUGUCCUCGAAAUUAGGGUACGUACCUGGUAUAUUGAAGAGGUGAGGAUAUUUUGACUUCAUCUCAGAUUCUAACUCUAAGGUCAUUUCUUUCACAUCGUGGUUUCUCCACAAAACUUUGACUUGAGGUAUAACCUUGGAGCAUAGAAUAUGAUCCUUUUUAUCCAAGAUUUUAACAGGUAAUUCUUCAUACGUUAAAUCUUCCUCUAUCUCUUCUGGUUCUAAGUCAAUAAUGUGGUUCGGGUCUUUCAUAUAUUUACGUAACAUAGAUAUGUGGAAAACGUUAUGAACACGAGACAUACUUGGCGGUAAGGCGAGUCUAUAGGCCACAGUUUCUACUCGUUCGAGGAUUAUAAAUGGGCCAAUGAAUCGAGGAUUGAGCUUUCCUCUCUUUCCAAAUCUCGUAACUCCUUUCUAUGGAGCAACACGUAACAACACAUGAUCUCCAAUAUUGAAUUCCACGUCUUUUCGAUGAAGAUCAGCAUAACUCUUUUGUCAAUCUUGUGAGGUUUUUUUACGUUGUCGGAUCGUUUGAAUCUUUUUCGUAGUUAUACGUACCAAAUCUGGUCCCAACAACGUUGCUUCACCCACCUCAUCCCAGCAUACUGGAGAACGACACUUUCUUCCAUACAACGCCUCGAAUGGAGCCAUGCCAAUACUUGCUUGAUAACUGUUGUUGUAGGAAAACUCCACCAAUGGUAAGAACUUGUCCCAACUUCCCUUGAAGUCAAGGACACAGAGUCUUAAUAAAUCUUCAAGAGUUUGAAUAGUCCUCUCUGAUUGUCCGUCCGUCUGAGGAUGAUAUGCCGAACUAAAUCGUAAAUCCGUGCCCAUAGCUUUUUGCAAACUAACCCAAAAUCGUGAAGUGAAUCUUGGGUCUCGAUCAGAAACUAUGGAUACUGGCAUACCAUGCAGUCUUACAAUCUCGUUUAUGUACAUACGAGCAAGACGUUCAAGUGUAUAAGUUUCUCGUAUUGGUAAGAAAUGAGCAGACUUGGUCAAUCUAUCAACAAUGACCCAAAUUGCAUCUAUGCCUUGAGAAACCUUGGGAAGACCAGUAACGAAAUCCAUGGUAAUGUGCUCCCACUUCCAUUCUGGAAUUUCAAGUGGUUGCAAUGGACCUUUUGGUACUUGAUGCUCCGCCUUGACUCGUUGACAAGUUAGACACCUUGAGAUAAACACCGCUAUCUCUCUCUUCAUAUUGCUCCACCAAAAUGUAUGUCGAAGAUCAUGAUACAUUUUGGUACUCCCAGGAUGGAUUGCAAACGGUGUGUUGUGCGCCUCCAUCAUGAUUUUAUACUUUAAAUCAGGGUCGUUAGGAACACAAAGUCUGGAGUUGACUCGAAGUAUUCCUUCUUCAUCGAUUCUUGCUUCCGGCAUAGCACCUUCUUGCACUUUCUUCCUCAUACGCAUCAGCUCCAGGUCUGUAGCUUGAGCAGCUUUAAUUUUAUCGAUUAAAGUCGGUUCUACUCGUAUAUUCGCCAUCAUCACGUGGGUCCCUGGAGUCUUUAUCUCUAUCUCCAUCCUUUGCAAGUCAUACAAAAUGGGCCUUUGCGUUGACAAUAUCGCACUCGUACCCGCAUAUGAUCUUCUACUCAAUGCGUCAGCUACCACGUUCGCUUUUCCAGGAUGGUAUUGGAUGGUAUGAUCAUAAUCUUUCAACAGUUCAAGCCAACGUCGUUGUCGCAUGUUGAGUUCCUUUUGAGUGAAGAAAUAUUUGAGGCUUUUAUGAUCCGUAAAGAUCUCCACUUUCUCCCCAUACAAGUAAUGCCUCCAAAUCUUUAGUGCGAAGACAACAGCUGCCAACUCUAGAUCAUGAGUAGGAUAAUUCCUCUCAUAUUCUUUGAGUUGUCGUGAGGCAUAGGCUAUGACUUUCCCAUGUUGCAUGAGAACACAUCCUAACCCUUUGCCCGAAGCAUCACUGUAGAUGACAAAUCCCUCCGAGCCAGAUGGUAUUGUCAGAACAGGUGCUGAAAUGAGUCUCCUCUUGAGUUCUUGAAAACUCUUCUCACAUUCCUCGCUCCAACCGAAUUUUGUAUCUUUCCGAGUCAGCUGAGUUAAUGGAGUAGCGAUUCGAGAAAACCCUUCUACGAAUCUCCGAUAAUAACCAGCUAAGCCGAGAAAGCUACGUACUUCGGUCACUGAUUUAGGUUGCUCCCAGCUUUGAAUAGCUUCAAUCUUUGCUGGGUCAACAGAUAUUCCAUGACUUGAUACCACGUGCCCAAGGAAUGCUACUUCCUCAAGCCAGAACUCGCAUUUCUUCAACUUGGCAUAAAGCUUAUAUUCACGAAGCUUUUGGAGUAUCAGCCUCAAGUGUUGCUCAUGAUCUUCACGGCUUUUGGAAUAAAUAAGGAUGUCAUCAAUAAAGACGACCACAAAGUGAUCCAAAUAUUCCUUGAAUACUCGGUUCAUCAUAUCCAUGAAGGCAGCAGGAGCAUUAGUCAAUCCAAAGGACAUGACUAGGAAUUCAUAAUGCCCGUACCGAGUUCUGAAAGCCGUCUUUGGAAUGUCAUCGGUUCUAAUCUUCAAUUGGUGAUAUCCGGAACGAAGAUCAAUCUUUGAAAAGAAUUUGGCUCCUUGCAACUGGUCAAACAGGUCAUCAAUACGUGGCAAUGGGUACCUAUUUUUGAUGGUGACAUGAUUCAACUCCCGAUAAUCAAUACAAAGUCGCAUACUCCCAUCUUUCUUCUUCACGAAUAGAACAGGAGCACCCCAAGGAGAAGUACUAGGACGAAUAAAGCCAAUGUCUAACAAUUCCUGCAGUUGGGUCUUUAACUCCUGAAGUUCAAUAGGAGCCAUUCGAUAUGGGGCUUUGGAAAUGGGUUUUGUACCGGGUUCAAGGUCGAUACAAAAUUCAAUUUCACGCUCUGGGGGUAGGCCAGGAAGUUCUUCAGGGAAUACGUCAGGAAAUUCAUUAACAAUAGAAAUAUCAUUCAAAACUGACGUAUUUUUGUUUAGAUCCGUGACAUGAGCUAAGAAAGCUUGACAUCCGUUUUUCAAUAAACGAAUAGCUUUAUGGCUUGAGAUGACAGUGAUUGAUUUUAAUGGUUUGGUUGCUUGAAUUCGCAUAAUAGGUUGAUUAGGAAUAUGAAAGCUAACAACCUUACGAAAACAAUCAAUUUUUGCAUGAUGAGUAGUUAACCAAUCAAUCCCUAGAAUCACGUCAAAUGCAAGUAUUUUCAAUGAAAUAAGAUCGACAGGUAAUGUGAGGGUACCGAUUUGAACCAAACAAGACUUAUAAACAGUGGAUGUAAUGAAGGUUUCUCCCAACGGAGUUUCCACAGAUAAGUCAAAGUCUAAUUUCUCCGGAGUCAAAUUUAAUCGUUGAGCGCAAGUAGGAGAAAUAAAAGAAUGGGUAGAACCGGUAUCAAAUAAAGUAUAGACUUCGCUAGAGUUUAUGAUAAGCUUACCCGUGAUGACCUCAUUCGGGUUCCUUGCUUUCUGGGAGGUCACAACAAACGCUCUCCCUUGCACUACCGGCUUUGACUUUUCUGGGACGGCCUUUGGUGCCUCCAUCCUAGCUGAACUUGUCUUCGGUGAACGACAAAAUCGGGCUAAGUGACCUUCUCUUCCACAAUUAUAACAUGCUUUGGACGGCAUCGCGCAGUUUGGACUGAUGUGUCCCUCCCCUCCGCAUUUGAAGCAUAUGAUAGGUGGUCGUUCUCCUUCCUUAACAACGGGUGCUGGUGCUGACGUCUUUCCAUCAUUGUUGAAUCUCCUCUUCUUGAAAUGUCCAUUCUUAUUGUUUUGGCCAUGAUUACCACCGAAGUGGUUACCAUUUCUGGCAUGUUGAUUCCCUCCACGCUUAUUGUCACCGCUUCGAUGACUGUUAUCACUGGUAUUAUCAUUUUGCCGGCUGCUCUCUUUUGGUUGGGUUGACUCAUUAUCGCGCUCCAAUAACUGAGCCCUAUUAACAACAUCUGAAUACAAACACAGUUUAUGAGAGAUAAGAUAUUGACGUAUCUCGGGUUUCAAACCUCUUAGAAACAUUCGCGUCAUUCUCUCCUCAUUAUCAACCAAAUGGGACGCAAACCGGGACAACUCGGCAAACUUGGCUUCGUACUGCGACACGGUCAUGUUGUUUUGCUCCAGCUUGAUGAACUCUACCUCUUUCAUGUGACGAAUACUUUCGGGAAAGUACUUGUCGUUGAACAGUUCUUGGAACUUCUCCCAAGACAUCUUCAGUGCGGCAGGUUGAGUACGCUUUACAGAUUCCCACCAGUAAUCUGCCUCUGCUCGCAACAUGAAGGUGGCAAAGGGAACCUUUUGCUCCUCGGAGCAUCCCAAGACAUCAAAUAUCUUGUUGAUCUGCUUUAUCCACGUCUCCGCCUUAAGUGGUUUUGGCUCUCCAAAAAACUCCGGUGGUCCCAGCUCCUUGAACUGUUUGGCGGUGACCGUCCGAGAGUUGCCAGUGUUUCCACCUGCAUUUUGGACAGGAGCCGCUCUCGCCUGAUGUUGCAUGAAUUGCAUAAAGCCUCUGAACAUUCCAUCGUUCAUCAUUUGGUCAGUGUUGUUGUUUGCAUGAGGAUUGUCGCCUUCCUGAUGCACAUUAUCCUGAUUAUUGAUCUGUGGAGACUCAACGGUCUCCUGUGCUCCAUUGAUGUUCUCAACAUUCUCGGAUGCCAUUUUCAAAUACUGCCACAAAACAAGGGUUAAUUAACAUAUCACAUAUUAUCCCUAUACUCUGACCGACCAAUUAAAUACCAAAUAAACUUAGGUAGGUCAUACUAGCGAAGGAAUUCCCCGUCUCUCCCCUCCUAGUUCUAGUCUCACAUCUUAGCCAGGGAUCAUAUCCCUAAGCUUUGAUACCAACUGUGACGCCCCCAAAAUUAGGUAUACAUCACCCAUCUUGAGUCGCCAGAUACAUGGUACAGAAUUCAAAUACAACUUAAUAAUACAACUGUCGUGUACAAUACGACAAAACAUAAACUGUGAGUUUGAAUACAAAUAUUGUCUACUAGAGAUUAUACAAACUCAAAAGGAGUCCUCAUUACAUUUAUUAUCACACUAUUUCACAGAAUAGUGAGGACUACUAAUGCUAUCAUCUGGACCGUCACUCCGUUCCCCGACUAGUCCCUGCUACGUUCUCAUUUCCUGAAGAGAACAAUGAAAGUAAAAGGGUGAGCUCAACUAGCCCAGUAAGAAAUAUUAUGACUAAGAUAAUGCAGAAUAAAUUAUCGUUAGCCUUCAACAGUGUUAAACUGAUACAAUAUAACAAACAUCAAGUUUAACUGCAGCGGAACAAGCAAUCCAUUAAAAGAGUCAAGUAGAGAAUAAAAUCUACUAUCUUUUAUGAUUUAAAAGGUUUUUCAUCACUUUUAUCGCUGGGACUCAGCUUAAUAAAUAAUCCACAUCAUCCCUGCACUACGGCCAAGGAUAUUCAUUAGUAUCACAACCACAAAUUAUCCAUGCACUACGGGCCAAGGAUAUUCGUGUAUUCAUCAAUGGUCAUGAUCAUGCCAACAACUGUCCAUCAAUGCACUACGGGCCAAUGAGGACUUUUACCACAUCAUUUGUAACAUUACGGUCAUGAUUAUACCGAAUAAUCCCUGGUCAUAAUCAUACCAAGUCCAUCUAUGCACUACAGGCCACAGAUGACUUUCAACAUAAUAUAAACAUGAGGAUGAUGACAAUGAUAUAAGAAUUCAAUAAAACAAGUUCAAGAAUUAAUUUAUCCAGGAACUAAUAACGUCCAAAUUGUCAACAUGAUACUUCUUUGUAGAGUAAAAUUCAAGAAUGCUCAGAAGAAUAUUUCCAUGAAAAGAUACUGGAUGAAGCGCAAAUAUCAAGGAUAUUCCACUAAUUUCAUGGAGUAUAGAAGUCAAAACUUUAACCAACUGAGUAUAAUAAAGAAUGGAAUAACAAAAGAAAUCACCAGGCAUGCGAUAAACCGCACAGACAGGAUAUUCCAACAGAAUAAUAAAUAACGGAACCAGGUCAUGCGUAAACGCACAGACAGGAUAUUCCAACAGAAUAAUAAAUAACGGAACCAGGUCAUGCGUAAACGCACAGACAGGAUGUUCCAACAGAAUAAUAAAGAAUGGAAUAACAGAAGAAUUUCACCAUGUAUGCGGUACUUCGCAUAGACAGGUUAUUCCAACAUAAUAAUAAAGAAUGGAAUAACAGAAGAAUUUCACCAAGUAUAGGGUAGCCCGCGUAUACAGGUUAUUCCAACAGAAUAAUAAAGAAUGGAAUAACAGAAGUUCUCUUCAUGAAUACGAAAGAAAUAAUACCCCUUACCUUAGAAGAAACUGGAUAUAGGAGUAGUGAAGUAGCAGAAUACUUUUCUUCUUUCUCUCUAUAGUUUCUCUCUCUAGAGUUUCAGUGAAUUCGUAAGAAAUAAUGAAGGAAUGAGCUUCUAUUUAUAGGAGAAUGGACUGAAUAGUAACUAAUUCAUGAACGGUCCAGAUUGAUUUACUUUUAAACGGACGGUCCAUAUUGAUUUACUAUGCAGUAUUAAUAAAAUAUUCUAAUAAAACAAAAUCUUUUAAAUAAAAUAUAAUAUAUUCUAUUUAUAAUCUAAUAAAACGAAUAACUUUAUAAAAGUAUUCUGUUUUAUAUAAAAAGAUUUUACUAUGCAAACACUAUGCAGGCACUAUGCAAACACUAUGCAUAAUAAAAUAUAAUAUAUUCUAAUUAUUGUCUAAUAAAACAAAUAACUUUAUAAAAGUAUUCUGUUUUAUAUAAAAAGAUUUUACUAUGCAAAACACUAUGCAUAAUAGAAUAUAAUAUAUUCUAUUUAUAGUCUAAUAAAACAAAUAACUUUAUAAAAGUAUUCUGUUUUAUAUAAAAAGCUUUUCUGUUUUAUUACAUUAAUAAUACUAAUAAAACAAUAUAUAUAUAUAUAUAUAUAUAUAUAUAUAUAUAAACUUCCGUGACUUCAUAAAAAGACACCUCAAUAUUUUUAACAACAUUUAUCAUCAUUAUUAUAAUUCACAAUAUUAAUCGACCAGGUCGUUCCCAGGAAAGAGGGGGCUUUCCAAUAAGGAUUUCUCCCUAUUGGCGCGCAAUUAGGUGACCAAACCUCUCCUUGACAGAACUUCUAGACAUCGUUAAUAUUGCAAAUAAUAAUAUUAAUAACUUUGUCAUCUCAAUUAUUGAUUUAAUAAUAUAUAAAAUAUUGACAAUAAUUGAAUCAAAUAACGUGAGAUACUAUGCAGCAAUUACUGUAGCAAUAAUUGAACAAAACUGAGUGACUUCUCACGUAAGCAUCAAUAAUCAAUACCGUGUGCUACUAUGCAACCACGCGUAUUACUGUACUUUUAACACCGGGUGUUUCAACAGUUAACGGUAAAACUUCCGCCGUUAUUUUCAUAAAGUAUUUUUGUCGUUUUCUCAAUCCGACAAUAAUUCCGUUGUGGGGUCCACCAAUGAUUGUGCCGUUGUACGAAUAUUCCCUGUUAAAACGAAUAUUCCCCGACCAAUCGAAUAUUAUAUAACAACUUGCGUACUUUGCAAAAUUUAUAAAUAUUACCCACAACUAUAACAUUAUAUCAAAUUCAUUCCAUAAUAUUCAAAAAUGAUAUUUAUAGAAAAUUCAUCUUUAUUCAUAAAAGUUGGGGUCUUACAACCUCCCCUUCUUAUGAAAUUUCGCCCUCGAAAUUAGGGUACGUACCUGGUAUGUCGAAGAGGUAAGGAUACCUUGAUUUCAUUUCAGAUUCUAACUCCCAGGUCAUUUCCUCAACAUCGUGGUUUCUCCACAAAACUUUGACUUGAGGUAUAACCUUGGAGCGUAGAAUAUGUUCCUUCUUAUCCAAGAUUUGAACAGGAACCUCUUCAUACGUUAAAUCUUCCGCUAUUUCGUCCGGUUCUAACUCAAUAAUGUGGUUCGGGUCUUCCACAUAUUUACGUAACAUGGAUAUGUGAAAAACGUUAUGAACACGAGACAUACUUGGCGGUAAAGCGAGUCUAUAGGCCACAGUUCCUACUCGAUCGAGGAUUAAAAAUGGGCCAAUGAAUCGAGGAUUGAGCUUUCCUCUCUUUCCAAAUCUCGUAACUCCUUUCCAUGGAGCAACACGUAACAACACAUGAUCUCCAAUAUCGAAUUCCACGUCCUUUCGAUGAAGAUCAGCAUAACUCUUUUGUCGAUCUUGUGAGGUUUUUAUACGUUGUCGGAUCGUUUGAAUCUUUUCCGUAGUCAUACGUACCAACUCCGGUCCCAACAACGUUGCUUCACCCACCUCAUCCCAGCAUACUGGAGAACGACACUUUCUUCCAUACAACGCCUCGAAUGGAGCCAUGCCAAUACUUGCUUGAUAACUGUUGUUGUAGGAAAACUCCACCAAUGGUAAGAACUUGUCCCAACUUCCCUUGAAGUCAAGGACACAGAGUCUUAAUAAAUCUUCAAGAGUUUGAAUAGUCCUCUCUGAUUGUCCGUCCGUCUGAGGAUGAUAUGCCGAACUAAAUCGUAAAUCCGUGCCCAUAGCUUUUUGCAAACUAACCCAAAAUCGUGAAGUGAAUCUUGGGUCUCGAUCAGAAACUAUGGAUACUGGCAUACCAUGCAGUCUUACAAUCUCGUUUAUGUACAUACGAGCAAGACGUUCAAGUGUAUAAGUUUCUCGUAUCGGUAAGAAAUGAGCAGACUUGGUCAAUCUAUCAACAAUGACCCAAAUCGCAUCUAUGCCUUAAGAAACCUUGGGAAGACCAGUAACGAAAUCCAUAGUAAUGUGCUCCCACUUCCAUUCUGGAAUUUCAAGUGGUUGCAAUGGACCUUUUGGCACUUGAUGCUCCGCCUUGACUCGUUGACAAGUUAGACACCUUGAGAUAAACCCCGCUAUCUCUCUCUUCAUUUUGCUCCACCAAAAUGUAUGUCAAAGAUCACGAUACAUUUUGGUACUCCCAGGAUGGAUUGCAAACGGUGUGUUGUGCGCCUCCAUCACAAUUUUAUACUUCAAGUCAGAAUCGUUAGGAACACAAAGUCUGGAGUUGACUCAAAGUAUUCCUUCUUCAUCGAUUCUUGCUUCCGAAAUAGCACCUUCUUGCACUUUCUUCUUCAUACGCAUCAGCUCCAGGUCUGUAGUUUGAGCAGCUUUAACUUUAUCGAUUAAAGUCGGUUCUACUCGUAUAUUCUUCAUCAUCACAUGGGUCCAUGGAGUCUUUAACUCUAUCUCAAUCCUUCGUAAGUCAUAUAAAAUGGGUCUUUGCGUUGACAAUAUUUCACUCGUACCCACAUAUGAUCUUCUACUCAAUGCGUCAGCUACUAUGUUCGCUUUUCCAGGAUGGUAUUAGAUGGUAUGAUCAUAAUCUUUCAACAACUCAAGCCAUCGUCGUUGUCGCAUGUUGAGUUCCUUUUGAGUGAAGAAAUAUUUGAGGCUUUUAUGAUCCGUAUGGAUCUCCACCUUCUCUCCAUACAGGUAAUGCCUCCAAAUUUUAAGCGCAAAAACGACUGCUGCCAACUCUAGAUCAUGAGUAGGAUAAUUCCUCUCAUAUUCUUUUGAGUUGUCGAGAGGCAUAGGCUAUGACUUUCCCAUGUUGCAUGAGAACACAUCCUAACCCUUUGCCUGAAGCAUCACUGUAGAUGACAAAUCCCUCCGAGCCAGCUGGUAUUGUCAGAACAGGUGGUGAAAUGAGUCUUCUCUUGAGUUCUUGAAAACUCUUCUCACAUUCCUCACUCCAACCAAAUUUUGUAUCUUUUUGAGUCAGCUGAGUUAAUGGAGUAGGGAUUCAAGAAAAUCCCUCCACGAAUCUCCGAUAAUAACCAGCUAAGUCGAGAAAGCUACGUACUUCGGUCACUGACUUAGGUUGCUCCCAGCUUUGAAUUGCUUCAAUCUUUGCCGGGUCAACAUAUAUUCCAUGAUUUGAUAUCACGUGCCCAAGGAAUGCAACUUCCUCAAGCCAGAACUCACAUUUCUUCAACUUGACAUAAAGCUUGUUUUCACGAAGCUUUUGAAGUAACAGCAUCAAGUGUUGCUCAUGGUCUUCACGGGUUUUGGAGUAUAUGAGGAUGUCAUCAAUAAAGACGACCACAAAGUGAUCCAAAUAUUCCUUGAAUACUCGGUUCAUCAUGUCCAUGAAGGCAGCAGGAGCAUUAGUCAAUCCAAAAGACAUGACUAGGAAUUCAUAAUGCCCGUACCGAGUUCUGAAAGCCGUCUUUGGAAUGUCAUCGGUUCUAAUCUUCAAUUGGUGAUAUCCGGAACGAAGAUCAAUCUUUGAAAAGAAUUUGGCUCCUUGCAACUGGUCAAACAGGUCAUCAAUACGUGGCAAUGGGUACCUAUUUUUGAUGGUGACAUGAUUCAACUCCCGAUAAUCAAUACAAAGUCGCAUACUCCCAUCUUUCUUCUUCACGAAUAGAACAGGAGCACCCCAAGGAGAAGUACUAGGACGAAUAAAGCCAAUGUCUAACAAUUCCUGCAGUUGGGUCUUUAACUCCUGAAGUUCAAUAGGAGCCAUUCGAUAUGGGGCUUUGGAAAUGGGUUUUGUACCGGGUUCAAGGUCGAUACAAAAUUCAAUUUCACGCUCUGGGGGUAGGCCAGGAAGUUCUUCAGGGAAUACGUCAGGAAAUUUAUUAACAAUAGAAAUAUCAUUCAAAACUGACGUAUUUUUGUUUAGAUCCGUGACAUGAGCUAAGAAAGCUUGACAUCCGUUUUUCAAUAAACGAAUAGCUUUAUGGCUUGAGAUGACAGUGAUUGAUUUUAAUGGUUUGGUUGCUUGAAUUCGCAUAAUAGGUUGGUUAGGAAUAUGAAAGCUAACAACCUUACGAAAAUAAUCAAUUUUUGCAUGAUGAGUAGUUAACCAAUCAAUCCCUAGAAUUACGUCAAAUGCAAGUAUUUUCAAUGAAAUAAGAUCGACAGGUAAUGUGAGGGUACCGAUUUGAACCAAACAAGACUUAUAAACAGUGGAUGUAAUGAAGGUUUCUCCCAACGGAGUUUCAACAGAUAAGUCAAAGUCUAAUUUCUCCGGAGUCAAAUUUAAACGUUGAGCGCAAGUAGGAGAAAUAAAGGAAUGGGUAGAACUGGUAUCAAAUAAAGUAUAAACUUCACUAGAGUUUAUGAUUAGCUUACCCGUGAUCACCUCGUUCGGAUUCCUCGAUUUUUGGGAGGUUACAAAAAACGCUCUCCCUUGAACUACUGGUUUUGUCUUGUCUGGGACACCCUUUGAUGCCUCCAUCCCAGCUGGAUUUGACUUUGGUGCACGACCAAAUCGAGCUAGGUGACCUUCUUUUCCUCAAUUGUAACAUGCUUUGGACUGCAUCGUGCAGUUUGGACUUAUGUGUCCUUCCCCUCCACAUUUGUAACAUACGACCGGUGGUCAUUCUCCUUCCUUAACAACAGGUGCUGGUGCUGACGUCUUUCCAUCAUCAUUGAAUCUCAUCUUCUUGAAAUGUCCACUCUUAUUGUCAUGGCCAUGAUUACCACCGAAGUGAUUACCAUUUCUGGCAUGUUGAUUCCCUCCACGUUUGUUGUCACCGCUUCGAUGACUGCUACCACUAGUAUUAUCGACUUGCCGACUGCUUUCUUUUGGUUGGGUUGACUCAUUAUCGCGCUCCAAUAACUGAGCCCUAUUUACAACAUCUGAAUACAAACACAGUUUAUGAGAGAUAAGGUAUUGACGUAUCUCGGGUUUCAAACCUCUUAGAAAAAUCUGUGUCAUUCUCUCCUCAUUAUCAACCAAGUGGGACGCAAAUCGAGACAACUCGGCAAACUUAGCUUCGUACUGUGCCACAGUCAUAUUUUUUUGCUCAAACUUAAAGAACUCUACCUCCUUCACGUGACGAAUACUUCCAGGAAAGUACUUGUCGUUGAAUAGCUCUUGGAACUUCUCCCAAGACAUUUUGAGUGUGGCAGGUUGAGUACGCUUUACAGAAUCCCACCAGUAAUCUGCCUCUGCUCGCAUCAUGAAGGUGGCAAAGGGAACCUUUUGCUCCUCGGAGCAUCCCAAGACAUCAAAUAUCUUGUUGAUCUGCUUUAUCCACGUUUCCGCCUUAAGUGGUUUUGGCUCUCCAAAAAACUCCGGUGGUCCCAGCUCUUUGAACUGCUUAGCGGUGAUCGUCCGAUAGUUAUCAGUGUUUCCACCUGCAUUUUGGACAGGAGCCGCCUUCGCCUGAUAUUACAUGAAUUGCAUAAAACCUCUGAACAUCCCAUCAUUCAUCAUUUGAUCGUUGUUGUUUACCAGAGGAUUAUUGUCUUCCUGUUGCACAUUAUCCUGGGUAUUAAUCUGUGGUGACUCAACGGUCUCAUGUGAUUCAUUGCUUAUCUCAACAUUUUCAGAUGCCAUUUUCAAAUACUUUCACAAAACAAGGGUUAAUUAUAAUAUCACAUAUUAUCCCUAUACUCUGCCCGUCCAAUUAAAUUCCAAAUAAACUUAGGUAGGUCAUACUAGCAAAGGAAUUCCCCGUCUCUCCCCUCCUAGUUCUUGUCUCACAUCUUAGCCAGGGAUCAUAUCCCUAAGCUUUGAUACCAACUGUGACGCCCCCAAAAUAGGUAUACAUCACCCAUCUUGAGUCGCCAAAUACAUGGUACAGAAUACAAAUACAAACAUAAUUAUACAACAGUCGUGUAAUAUAUGACAAAAUAUAGCUGAGAGUUUAAACAGGAAUGUUGCCUUCUAGACAAUAUCCACUCUCAAAUAUAGUCCUCAUUACAUUUUUUGUCACACUAUUUAUAGAAUAGUAAGGACUACUAAUGCACCAUCUCGGACCAUUACUCCGUUCCCCGACUAGUCCCGGCUACGUUCUCAUUUCCUGAAGAGAACAAUGAAAGAAAAAGGGGGAGGCUAGCCCAGUAAGAAAUAUUAUGACUACGAUAAUUCAGAAUAAAUUAUCAUUAGUCUUCAACAAUGUUAAACUCAUAAAAUACAAUAGACAUCAAGUUUAACUGCAGCGGAAUAAGCAAUCUAUUAGAAGAGUCAAGUAGAGCAUGAUAUCUACUGUCUUCUAUGAUUUAAAAUGUUUUCAUCAAUUUUAAUCUCUGAGACUCAGCUUAAUAAAUAAACCACAUCAUCGAGUCAUCCCUGCACUACGGUCCAAGGAUAUUCAUUUAAUCAUCAAUAGUCAUGACUAUAACGAAUAAUCCCUGGUCAUAAUCAUACCAAAAACUCUCCAUCAAUGCACUACAGGCCACUGAGGACUUUUACCACAUCAUUUAUUACUUUACAGGUCAUGAUUAUACCGAAUGAUCCCUGGUCAUAAUCAUACCAAGUCCAUCUAUGCACGUAAGCCAAAGAUGACUUUCAUCACAAUAUAAGCAUGAGGAUGAUGACAAUGACAUAAUAAUUCAAUAAAACAAGUUCAAGAAUAAAUUUUAAAGAUUUAUAAGUUAAUUUAUCCUGAAAUCAAUUACGUCCAAAUUGUCAACAUGAUANNNNNNNNNNNNNNNNNNNNNNNNNNNNNNNNNNNNNNNNNNNNNNNNNNNNNNNNNNNNNNNNNNNNNNNNNNNNNNNNNNNNNNNNNNNNNNNNNNNNNNNNNNNNNNNNNNNNNNNNNNNNNNNNNNNNNNNNNNNNNNNNNNNNNNNNNNNNNNNNNNNNNNNNNNNNNNNNNNNNNNNNNNNNNNNNNNNNNNNNNNNNNNNNNNNNNNNNNNNNNNNNNNNNNNNNNNNNNNNNNNNNNNNNNNNNNNNNNNNNNNNNNNNNNNNNNNNNNNNNNNNNNNNNNNNNNNNNNNNNNNNNNNNNNNNNNNNNNNNNNNNNNNNNNNNNNNNNNNNNNNNNNNNNNNNNNNNNNNNNNNNNNNNNNNNNNNNNNNNNNNNNNNNNNNNNNNNNNNNNNNNNNNNNNNNNNNNNNNNNNNNNNNNNNNNNNNNNNNNNNNNNNNNNNNNNNNNNNNNNNNNNNNNNNNNNNNNNNNNNNNNNNNNNNNNNNNNNNNNNNNNNNNNNNNNNNNNNNNNNNNNNNNNNNNNNNNNNNNNNNNNNNNNNNNNNNNNNNNNNNNNNNNNNNNNNNNNNNNNNNNNNNNNNNNNNNNNNNNNNNNNNNNNNNNNNNNNNNNNNNNNNNNNNNNNNNNNNNNNNNNNNNNNNNNNNNNNNNNNNNNNNNNNNNNNNNNNNNNNNNNNNNNNNNNNNNNNNNNNNNNNNNNNNNNNNNNNNNNNNNNNNNNNNNNNNNNNNNNNNNNNNNNNNNNNNNNNNNNNNNNNNNNNNNNNNNNNNNNNNNNNNNNNNNNNNNNNNNNNNNNNNNNNNNNNNNNNNNNNNNNNNNNNNNNNNNNNNNNNNNNNNNNNNNNNNNNNNNNNNNNNNNNNNNNNNNNNNNNNNNNNNNNNNNNNNNNNNNNNNNNNNNNNNNNNNNNNNNNNNNNNNNNNNNNNNNNNNNNNNNNNNNNNNNNNNNNNNNNNNNNNNNNNNNNNNNNNNNNNNNNNNNNNNNNNNNNNNNNNNNNNNNNNNNNNNNNNNNNNNNNNNNNNNNNNNNNNNNNNNNNNNNNNNNNNNNNNNNNNNNNNNNNNNNNNNNNNNNNNNNNNNNNNNNNNNNNNNNNNNNNNNNNNNNNNNNNNNNNNNNNNNNNNNNNNNNNNNNNNNNNNNNNNNNNNNNNNNNNNNNNNNNNNNNNNNNNNNNNNNNNNNNNNNNNNNNNNNNNNNNNNNNNNNNNNNNNNNNNNNNNNNNNNNNNNNNNNNNNNNNNNNNNNNNUUGACAGAACUUCUAGACAUUGUAAAUAUUGCAAUUUAAUAAUAUGAAUAACUUUGUCGUCUCAAUUAUUGAUUUAAUAAUAUAUCAUAUUAUGCAGAUGAUACUGUGACAAUAAUCGAAUCAAUAAUAUGAGAGAUAUGAUGCAACAAUUACUGUAGCAAUAAUUGAGUAUAAUUGAGUGACUUCUCACGUAAGCAUCAAUAAUCAAUACCGUGUGUUACUAUGCAACCACGCGUAUUACUGUACUUUUACUACCGGGUAGUUCGACAGUUUAACGGUAAAACUUCCGCUGUUAUUUUUAUAAAAAGAUAAUUUUGUCGUUUUCUAACUACGACAAUACUUUUGUUGUGGGGUCCACCAAUGAUUAUGCCGUCGUACGAAUAUUCCCUGUUAAAACGAAUAUUCCCCGACCAAUCAAAUAUUAUAUAACUACUUGCUUACUUUGCAAGAUUUGUAAAUAUUACCCACAACUAUAACAUUAUAUUAUAUCCACACCAUAAUAUUCAAAAAUAUAUUUCGAGAGAAAUUAAUCUUUAUUCAUAAAAGUUGGGGUCUUACAAAAAACCUAACCCAGAAGUCUACCCAUAACUCAUAGGUCAAACCUAAAUAGGUUUUCUACAAGAAAGAACCUAAGCUCUGAUAAUAACUCUAUAACACCCCCUUUUCGAAAUAAAAAGAGAGGUUACGCACAAAACAUAACAAAACGAAAUGAAAGCUUUAUGCCACAAAAGAAUGGUCUCAUAUUGAUUAAAUAUCACAAGACAAACUAUAAUAAAUGUCAAACUGCCUCAAACCAAAAUUUAAAAUAAUUAUUACAAUUCCAAACAAAUUGACAUAACAAGCCUAAACAGAAUAUUUCUAAACCAUUGGAAUGAAGGGAGCUCUCAUCAUACUUGCCCUUGAUUCCCUAGAUUACCUGGCCGAAGAAAAACAUAGCAUGAGCCAAAUGCCCAGUACGGAUAUAGAAUACAAAUAAUGAACCAAAAUAACUAACUCAGUUAAACGAAA